Molecule: non-coding RNA, 144 nt
Filed under: Actinokineospora spheciospongiae
Lineage: Bacteria; Bacillati; Actinomycetota; Actinomycetes; Pseudonocardiales; Pseudonocardiaceae
Source: RNAcentral
UGUUAGCUUUCGCGGGCCAGCCGAGGCCGUGGAGGCGGGUUCGGGCGGGGGAACUCCGGUGCAAGACCGGGACUGACGCGCAGCGGUGAGGGACGGCUUCCGAGCGUUCCGAGUCCGAUUACCCACUGGCACCCACUCCGGCCU